This 253-nucleotide ribosomal RNA is filed under the name uncultured bacterium. RNAcentral describes it as "partial 16S ribosomal RNA". It matches the Rfam family "Bacterial small subunit ribosomal RNA", at positions 524 to 776 of the family's 1533-position model. The record is from RNAcentral.
UACGUAGGGUGCGAGCGUUAAUCGGAAUUACUGGGCGUAAAGCGUGCGCAGGCGGUUCGCUAAGACCGAUGUGAAAUCCCCGGGCUUAACCUGGGAACUGCAUUGGUGACUGGCGGGCUAGAGUAUGGCAGAGGGGGGUAGAAUUCCACGUGUAGCAGUGAAAUGCGUAGAGAUGUGGAGGAAUACCGAUGGCGAAGGCGGCAUCCUGGACCGGUAUUGACGCUGAGGCGCGAAAGCCAGGGGAGCAAACGGG